CUCUCCGAGAUCUCUGGCAAUCCCUAGUCUCACGGGGCGGGCAACGGCAGCUGGGGGUCGCCCCGCCCUCUGGGCUUCUCUCCGGGCCUCUCUCGGGAGCCCUGAAUGCUGGGCGUGGCCCCUCUGCUAAUGGCAGACAGAGAGUUUUGUCUGCUGCCUGGCGGAACUCCGGCACUUCCCCUCCGGGUCGCAGAACCGGCCUUUGAAAGUUCCCCCCGCCCCGGUCCUCUCCGAGAUCUCUGGCAAUCCCUAGCCCCACGGGGCGGGCAACGGCAGCUGGGGGUCGCCCCGCCCUCUGGGAUUCUCUCUGGGCCUCUCCCGGAGCCAUGAAUCCUCAGCGUGGCCCCUCUGCUAACGGCAGACAGAGAGUUUUGUCUGCUGCCCGGGCGGAGCUCCGGCGCUUCCCCUCCGGGUCACCGGCAACGGCAGCUGGGAGACCUCCGUACCCUCCGUGACUCUCUCUGGGACCCAAUGGCGGGGAGAGACUCUCCCCGCGGGCUCAGGUGUGCAACUCCAAAGUUUCCCUCUGCGUUUAGGAGUAAUUGCGGGGGGUUUAGGUAGGGUUCUGGUCACCUGUUUCCACUGUCGCUCCUCUGUUGUGUUCUCGCUCCUGCCCUAGAUGUGUGUGGAUCCUCUGGGGGCGUCCGUUGGAAGAAAGCCGCUUGCGGGUACUAGGCUGCCCAUCGGGGUCAGAGAGUUUUCACCUAUUUCCACAUCCUCCCGGAGGAAAGUCCGUCCGCCUUCUGAUGUAUAGUCACGUGGGUGUCUCAGACGUCCUGAGAUGCUGUCUGGAUAUCCUUUGUCAAGCGAUAAGUGUCCAAAUAAUUGUAGACUCGAAGGGCGAGAGACAAAGAGGACUACUCACGGCGCCAUCUUGGAUCUUCUCCGGUGGGCCAUUUGAAGAAGGAGCACAGAUCCUGAUUGCUGUUUGAAAACCAUCCAUUGAUACCUUCUGAUGGGAUCAAGAAAAGGUAUCAAAACUUACAGAGUGAGGGGCAGCAGCUUGGAAGAAAAUCUCAGAGAAAGAUGAUGAUGGUCUUUUAAGAAAUGCGGCGUCACCAACACCCUCGAUGGUAUGAAGGUCGCUAUUGUGUGGAAACUCACAGAUAUCCUGAAAGUGAAAACUUAAUCAACUUAUUUCCCUCAUCUUUUUCUUUUUGUGUGUGUACAAGAGAGAGAGAUGAUGGUAAUCUGUUUAAAGAAGUCUAAAAGAGCUUUUUCAAUAACCACAAAAUUAAAAUUCUAAGCGAUAAGAAAAACUAAUCGGCAGUGUAUUUUCUUUCUUUUUUCAGUCUUACAAUUGAUUGCAUCUUAGAUAUAAUGAGAUAUGGC
RNAcentral lists this long non-coding RNA (1332 nucleotides) under Equus caballus (horse). RNAcentral's name for it is "lncRNA (ENSECAG00000027885.3)". Lineage: Eukaryota; Metazoa; Chordata; Mammalia; Perissodactyla; Equidae. The record is from RNAcentral.